Molecule: ribosomal RNA, 254 nt
Filed under: uncultured bacterium
Lineage: Bacteria
Description: partial 16S ribosomal RNA
Rfam family: Bacterial small subunit ribosomal RNA
Source: RNAcentral
UACGAAGGGGGCUAGCGUUGUUCGGAAUUACUGGGCGUAAAGCGCACGUAGGCGGAUCGGUCAGUUAGGGGUGAAAUCCCAGAGCUCAACUCUGGAACUGCCUUUAAUACUGCCGAUCUCGAGUCCGGAAGAGGUGAGUGGAAUUCCGAGUGUAGAGGUGAAAUUCGUAGAUAUUACGGAAGAACACCAGUGGCGAAGGCGGCUCACUGGACUGGUACUGACGCUGAGGUGCGAAAGCGUGGGGAGCAAACAGG